RNAcentral lists this ribosomal RNA (253 nucleotides) under uncultured bacterium. RNAcentral's name for it is "partial 16S ribosomal RNA". It matches the Rfam family "Bacterial small subunit ribosomal RNA", at positions 524 to 776 of the family's 1533-position model. The record is from RNAcentral.
UACAGAGGGUGCAAACGUUGUUCGGAAUCACUGGGCAUAAAGCGCACGUAGGCUGUCUCGUAAGUGAGGGGUGAAAUCCCACGGCUCGACCGUGGAACUGCUUGGCAUACUGCGAGACUCGAGGACGGUAGGGGAGAGCGGAACUCCUGGUGGAGCGGUGAAAUGCGUAGAUAUCAGGAGGAACACCGGUGGCGAAGGCGGCUCUCUGGUCCGUUUCUGACGCUGAUGUGCGAAAGCUAGGGUAGCGAACGGG